GGAUGUUAGAGCAAUCUGACAGUGACAUCUGUCACUCCAUUUAUGCCAGAUUUGAUUUGAGGGAUUUGGCUGGUGAAGUGUCCAGUGAUUCCCUCACUGUUCUAUAUUUGUCAUCCUGCCAUAAGGAUUGGCUACAUCUUUAGGAUGUCAACCAAGUCAAAGAGGGGAAUAC
This 172-nucleotide small nuclear RNA is filed under the name Homo sapiens (human). Its description in RNAcentral is "snRNA-7SK_RNA-related". Lineage: Eukaryota; Metazoa; Chordata; Mammalia; Primates; Hominidae. The record is from RNAcentral.